This 1956-nucleotide long non-coding RNA is filed under the name Trifolium pratense (red clover). RNAcentral's name for it is "long non-coding RNA (TPRA_LNC000744)". The record is from RNAcentral. Lineage: Eukaryota; Viridiplantae; Streptophyta; Magnoliopsida; Fabales; Fabaceae.
CCUGAUUGAAUUUUUCUAAUAAAUAGCAUUUAUUGUUUGUAUUUCUUAAAAAUUGGUCACUUUCUCUCUCAGUUUUCUCUCUCUCCCUCUCUCAUAUCGCUCACUCUCUCUCCCUCUCUCAUGUAAUUCUCUGUAUACAAAUUUCUCCUGUCUCUCCGAUAUAUGCCUUCUCAUUCCUGCAUUUUAUUUCAUUCUAGCAAGCUUCACCUUUACAUUUUGCUUUGUGAUUGUCCUCUGCAGGUUUGAAUGGAGCGCACUAGGAGGAGUUUGGUGGUGGUUGAGGGGAUUCUGAGAUGAAUUCAUUGAAGGAGUCAUCGAUCAGUAAGGUAUUUAUAGUUACAAUAAUAUUUUACGGGUACAACACCUCCAUGACUGUGUUUUGCCAAUUUUAGACUUUAAUCCGUUGCUUCUAUUCCAGGAUUUAGAAGAAUGGAACCUGAAUGGCCAUGAAAGUAAGUUUUAAAUUUUAUCUACCUUUUUGUUUCUUUAUUUUCAUGAAAUCAACAUUUAUACACUUUUGUGUCUUGCUAUUAUUGAAAUUCCUUUUGAAUCUGGUCCAAGAAGCAAGCACCUAUAGAAGGAAGUGAUCAUAGAUUUAGGUGGAGAUUAUUUGAUAAGACAGAAAGAAACUGCAAGUGCGAGAAGAAGAGUUUGACAUAUUCAGUUUGCUUAAUGUAAGUUUUAAAUUGGGGUUUUUAAACUUAGUGUUCUUUCUUCUCCAGUUGCUGAAUCUAACAACGUUGAGAUUCUUUUGCAGGGCUCAUUGGCAAAUUAAGGUAUUUUUUAUUGUACUUUUAAUUUUUGAUUAGUUUGCUAUUUCUUUUUUUAUUGCUUUUAUGAUUCUUAACUUUAAUAUGAUAUCAUGCUAUUUCUAUUCUUGCUUAAUAAUUCUAAGUCUCAGUAUACUCUUACAUAUAUCUUGACCUAUUUUAUUGUUAACAUUUUAAAUUUGUUUAUCAAAUUGAAGUUUUUGUAAUUACAGAAAUAUGGACUACUCAAAUUCAACUUAAUCAAUGAGUUAAUUUCAUUAAAAAAAAAUUACCAUUAGUGACAAUAGUUGUAUAUUUGUGAACCAUCUAUGAUAUUUGCAUCAUGUUAUACAGUUUUUAUGAUCUCUUAUCCACUUUAAUGAUUUGUACCUUUUGGAAUGAUCUAGGACAUAUUGCUCUGUUAUUGGCAUUUGGAAGUACUUAUGUAGUUUUAUGGCAUUUGGAAUGUUUUUAUGGUCUUCUAUUGGAUUCAUAUUAUGUAGUUUUAAGUAUGCUUUUCAUAAGUUUAAUAAAAUACUGACAUAACUUGAAACUGAUAUGCUUCACGAGGCUAUCAAAGAAACGAAUUACUCAUUUUUCAUGUCCUAUGUAUAAGCAAUCGGUUUCUCUAUAAAAUUUAAAUUGAUGUCCUUGGCUAAUUGAUAUUUUAUUCUUUAGCUUCAUUUUGGAAAUGGUAAUUGAUGUACUUGGCUAAAUUGAUGUGCAAAUUUUUGAAAGAAAAUAUUGUUGAAAAAUGAAUAUGCAAAUUUUUUAGCAUAGUUUAUUUGAUCUUUAUAUGCUGCAGAGCCUCUCUUGCAGAAAGUUGAAGCAACAUAUCAUUUUCACUUGAAGUUUCAGCUUAAUUGGCUCUUCAUUCUUUCUAACCACUGUUUCUUAAUUGUUGUGUUAUAUGGUAGCAAUGUUACUUGCAAGAUAACAAUUGUGGAAGAAGGCAGUAUCAAUCCUAUCUUGAAGUUUCAGCCUUGGAAUAAAUUUUUUUAAUUUAUUUUCUCAAUGUAUGAUGUAAUGUUAGAGAAUGAUAUGGUUGUUUUGGUAACAUACAAUAGCUCUUAACUUUCUUGGCAAUGACAUCUUAAAGAAGGAAAUGUAGUGAAUAACAUUUGUGUUAGAAUUCAUAUUGAUUAAUAUUUCUAUUGUUCUUUGUGCAAAAUAUAAUUCAAAGAUAUAAAAAUUAAUUAGAAAUACA